Molecule: long non-coding RNA, 1640 nt
Organism: Beta vulgaris subsp. vulgaris (sugar beet)
Lineage: Eukaryota; Viridiplantae; Streptophyta; Magnoliopsida; Caryophyllales; Amaranthaceae
Exons: 2
Source: RefSeq, a predicted model, not a curated record
UCACCUUCUGUUUCUAUUCCCGGAACAGAUGAACCUUCCAUUCUAACCCCUCCAGUUCCUCCACAAAAUCCACCAUCUGCCUCAGGUUCCAAGGGUAAGGAACAGGAAACUUCGGAUGAUGCUAGCUGGGUAAAUGAUGUUUGUCUUCCUGCUCAACAUAUGAUCAAAUUUUAUAAUCAUCUUUGUAAUACCCCAUAUUUUUAAUAUUUAUUUAAAUAAUAAAAUAUUUAUUUAAAUAAUAAAAUAUUUAUUUUAUAUUUAUUUUCUAAAAUAAAUAUUUUAAGCAAAGGGUAUUUUAGUAUUUUCAAUGAUUUUUAAUUUUUUUGGCGGGAAUAUGGCGCCAAAAUUGAAUUUGUUAAGCUUUUGGUAUUAAAUCCUAGUCAAAAAAUUUCUGAAAACCAAAAAAAAAAAAAAAAAAAAAACAUUUUUUUUUUAGGGGCCAUAUAUUCCUACGGGAUUUAUGGUGAAUGGAGGGAGUUUUGUUUUCCUAUAACUUCCAAAUUUAUGAUGGAUGUUACAAAUCUUGGUUUAAUCCCCUAAUUUAUGGUGAAGGUUACAAACUAUUUAAUUUUUGAAAUUAAGUACUAUCUAUUCUACUCCUAUAAAUACCCCACACCUUUAGCCAUCUUUUCCACACAAAAACUUUGAAGAAUCUAUAAUUUCUUACUUCAAAGUUCUUCUUUCUCUUCCUAUGUAUUCUAGUUUUAUAUUUCUUAUUCAAGUUUCAAUUUUCUUUUGUUUAAGAAAAAUAUUUUCAUAUUUCUUACUCAAAAAUAUUAUGCUCAUGAUAGAUCAUUCAUGUAUAAAUUCAAGAUUAAGUUCAUGUGGUAGAUUGCUUGUUGGUUGGCUAUGAGAAAGCUCAAGUAUAAGAAUAAGUGAAGAUACUAGUAUUAGUUUGUGCAAGAUCAAGAUUUGCAGGUGAAUUUUGGAUGUGCAUGGGAGCAUACUAGGAAGGGGAUCUUCACCUAGAUUAGAGUGUUUCAUUUAUUUUGAGUAUUGAGACAAUAUUUACUUUUAUUAAUAAAGAAGUAUUAUUAUUUUUGGUUAAAGUCUUCCGCUGCAAGUUAUUUUGGUUAGUUAGUAGUUGGUUGCCGAAAGCGUGUUAGUCACGUGGCGGUAAUACUCCUAAAUUACUCAAAUAUUAUUUAUUAAAUUAUUUAUUUAAAAGUGAGUAAUUUGGGGGUGUUACAAAGUGGUAUCAGUUUUUCAGGUCUUGAAAAGAUAAAAGUUGAAUAUUAAAAUUGAUGGGUAGACAUAGGAUGGGUAGAUAAGAGUUUCGCAUUUGCAUUCUAAAUUGUUUUUGUUAAGCUUAAUUGUUUUCUUUUUGACGAUUUGUAUAGAUGCAUCUUGCUAGUACCACAAAAAGGUAUAUAUAUUUAUAUUAUUAUUUUUAUUUUGAAAGAUGAAGGGUGUAGAUAUGUUGGGGUGACAAGCUCUGUCUAGGAUUAGGAAGGCUCUCCCCGACGCUGUGGGUAACUUCCUUACCUGGGAGCUAUAAUCACCUUGGCUAUUCUAUAUCUUGAAAUCAAGUACACUUUAAAAUUUUUGAAAUAAAUAUUUUAAGCCAUAGUGGUGCAUCUAGUACAAAUCUUAAACUAUAUAUAUUUAGUUAUCAUAUAUUAGUAUUACUUUUAUGAUGA